GUGCGGGGGCAGGAAAAAGGAGCCUGGGUGAGGGGGCCGGCAGGGGCAGUGGGGGAGGGACUCUUAUCCUGACAGGGCUCCCGCCUUCCCCGACUGGAGGGUUUGGAAAAACUGAGCAGGCAGCCAAGGCUUGGCUGGAAAUCCUGCAGCCCACCCUCCUGGGGACACAAAGCUGGAGGGCGGAGGCAGGGCGGGGGAAGAGAGCACGACCCCGGGGAGGGCAGGGCCUCUUUUGGGGCUGGGGGCCCAGGGGCCAGGUCCCUGGGGAGGGGGUUCCUGGCGCUGUCUCCCUGCAGUCUGUUUCCCCCUUCUCCUCCACUCCCCCUCUCCUCGCCCCCCCCUCCUCCCCCUCCCCGGCUCCAGUCUUGCAGAUUGCGGGCAGACUUAACUCCUUGAGUGCCAGCCUGGUGGACUCCGAGGUGGUGACGCUGGGAGGGAGGGAGGGAGGGAGGAGACUCCGGACCCCACUCCCACCACUGUUUAACACCUUGUGGCCCGGAACGCAGUCUCGGGAUCUGGGCUGGUCAGAGCCCUGGAAGGUUGCCUGGUACUCGAGGAGAGAUACACAAAACCCGGCACCCGAGAGCUGCGUAAUCUGGCCCAUUCUGCUGCCAAAUCUUAACCGUCUACACUCCCGCCACCCCGGUCCUCUGUGUCUCUCCCUCCACUCUUCGGCUACCCUCCCCCCACUACCCGACCCACCAGUCGUUACAAAGGUCCCCGACCGACAGAAGGCUCGUGAGAACCCAGAAGUCUGGGUUCUGUGGCUGCCCCAGCAUUCUCUGUAUCCUCUGUGAGGCCCAGCGCGGGUGACCACAACCCGUACCUCUUGUGCCUCCAGGGGGCUCCUUCACCUUUCUGCGGAGGUAGCUGCCCAACUGAGGCAGGGAAUGGUAGCCUCCGCCAGCCCCAGCUGGAACAAGGGCCUGAGUAACUGGAAACCCUGACUUCACCUCCACCCUAGCCCCUUUCUCGGGCACCACCCCCUCCGCCAUCAGAUUGGCCUUCCAGUUCGGCUCUGAAUGACUCUGCCCGAGCAAAGAAAACCAGGCCAGGCAGGAAGGGGUUAACGGAGCUAGCCGACUCCGUGUGAGAGCCAGGACCUACUAUGCACUGGGCACUGGAUGAGACGAUGCGUCUAUGUUGGGGAACAAGACAGAUGUGUCACCCUCAGAGCCUGCAGUCUAGGUGGGGAUGGGCACGGAACUCUCUGGCCCAAGGGGAAAAUGGCACCCCUGGACUGUGGACAACCCCCUGAACGAGGCAUAUCCUCAGUCCCAGCAGGGCCUAACGCCUGCUC
Long non-coding RNA from Panthera uncia (snow leopard), 1300 nucleotides. RefSeq lists it as uncharacterized. The record is from RefSeq and is a predicted model, not a curated record. The transcript is spliced from 3 exons. NCBI's taxonomy places the organism in Eukaryota, Metazoa, Chordata, Mammalia, Carnivora, Felidae.